AUACUUAACUGGCAGAGGAGAUACCAUGAUUAUGAAUGUGGUUUCCCAGGGCAAGGCUUAUCCAUUGCAUUCCACAUGUACUGACACUGUGAUUCCCCCAAAUGUGGGAAACUUGACUGCAUAAUUUGUGCAAGUGUGGGACCUCAUUUGUGUUGCAGCACC
Molecule: small nuclear RNA, 162 nt
Organism: Octodon degus (degu)
Lineage: Eukaryota; Metazoa; Chordata; Mammalia; Rodentia; Octodontidae
Gene: U1
Rfam family: U1 spliceosomal RNA
About the family: U1 is a small nuclear RNA (snRNA) component of the spliceosome (involved in pre-mRNA splicing). Its 5' end forms complementary base pairs with the 5' splice junction, thus defining the 5' donor site of an intron. There are significant differences in sequence and secondary structure between metazoan and yeast U1 snRNAs, the latter being much longer (568 nucleotides as compared to 164 nucleotides in human).
Source: Ensembl